Non-coding RNA from Paraburkholderia tropica, 186 nucleotides. The record is from Rfam. NCBI's taxonomy places the organism in Bacteria, Pseudomonadati, Pseudomonadota, Betaproteobacteria, Burkholderiales, Burkholderiaceae.
AAUGCGCGGGUCUUAGGGGAGUAGUCUGCUUUGCGCGCGACGCGCGAAGCGCCGCCGUCAACAUAAUUGGCACCCAAUGCCAUGGCGCCGGCAGCCGUUCUUCGGCCUGACGAGACCUAUGACGUCUUCCUCCGCACCCGGGCUGGGCGGGAGGAUUGCGUCAUUGGUCCCAAACGUCCGGCCCGU